ACGCACGCUGGCGGCGUGCCUAAUCCAUGCAAGUAGAACGCUGAAGGAGGAGCUUGCUUCUCUGGAUGAGUUGCGAACGGGUGAGUAACGCGUAGGUAACCUGCCUGGUAGCGGGGGAUAACUAUUGGAAACGAUAGCUAAUACCGCAUAAUAGUAGAUGUUGCAUGACAUUUGCUUAAAAGGUGCAAUUGCAUCACUACCAGAUGGACCUGCGUUGUAUUAGCUAGUUGGUGGGGUAACGGCUCACCAAGGCGACGAUACAUAGCCGACCUGAGAGGGUGAUCGGCCACACUGGGACUGAGACACGGCCCAGACUCCUACGGGAGGCAGCAGUAGGGAAUCUUCGGCAAUGGACGGAAGUCUGACCGAGCAACGCCGCGUGAGUGAAGAAGGGUUUCGGAUCGUAAAGCUCUGUUGUAAGAGAAGAACGAGUGUGAGAGUGGAAAGUUCACACUGUGACGGUAUCUUACCAGAAAGGGACGGCUAACUACGUG
This 494-nucleotide ribosomal RNA is filed under the name uncultured bacterium. RNAcentral's name for it is "partial 16S ribosomal RNA". It matches the Rfam family "Bacterial small subunit ribosomal RNA", at positions 29 to 507 of the family's 1533-position model. The record is from RNAcentral.